UUCGGGUUGUAAAGCACUUUCAGUAGGGAGGAAGGUAGUGUAGUUAACACCUGCAUUAUUUGACGUUACCUACAGAAGAAGCACCGGCUAACUCCGUGCCAGCAGCCGCGGUAAUACGGAGGGUGCGAGCGUUAAUCGGAAUUACUGGGCGUAAAGCGCAUGCAGGCGGCCUGUUAAGUCAGAUGUGAAAGCCCGGGGCUUAACCUCGGAAUUGCAUUUGAAACUGGCAGGCUAGAGUCUUGUAGGAGGGGGUAGAAUUUCAGGUGUAGCGGUGAAAUGCGUAGAGAUCUGAAGGAAUACCAGUGGCGAAGGCCGGCCCCCCUGGACAAAGACUGACGCUCAGAUGACGAAAGCGGUGGGGAGACAAACAGGAUUAGACUACCCUGGUAG
RNAcentral lists this ribosomal RNA (390 nucleotides) under uncultured bacterium. RNAcentral describes it as "bacterial SSU rRNA". It matches the Rfam family "Bacterial small subunit ribosomal RNA", at positions 417 to 793 of the family's 1533-position model. The record is from RNAcentral.